RNAcentral lists this transfer RNA (78 nucleotides) under Dehalococcoidia bacterium. RNAcentral's name for it is "tRNA-Val". It matches the Rfam family "tRNA". From Rfam's summary of the family: Transfer RNA (tRNA) molecules are approximately 80 nucleotides in length. Their secondary structure includes four short double-helical elements and three loops (D, anti-codon, and T loops). Further hydrogen bonds mediate the characteristic L-shaped molecular structure. tRNAs have two regions of fundamental functional importance: the anti-codon, which is responsible for specific mRNA codon recognition, and the 3' end, to which the tRNAs corresponding amino acid is attached (by aminoacyl-tRNA synthetases). tRNAs cope with the degeneracy of the genetic code in two manners: having more than one tRNA (with a specific anti-codon) for a particular amino acid; and 'wobble' base-pairing, i.e. permitting non-standard base-pairing at the 3rd anti-codon position. Lineage: Bacteria; Bacillati; Chloroflexota; Dehalococcoidia. The record is from RNAcentral.
GGGCGGUUAGCUCAGCUUGGUUAGAGCGUCUGUCUUACACACAGAAGGUCAGAGGUUCGAGUCCUCUAUCGCCCACCA